CCUGGCCUAGCUCAGCGGCAGAGCACCCGGCUUCGAACCGGGCGGGCGCGAGUUCGAAUCUCGCGGCCAGGU
Molecule: transfer RNA, 72 nt
Filed under: Nocardia yunnanensis
Lineage: Bacteria; Bacillati; Actinomycetota; Actinomycetes; Mycobacteriales; Nocardiaceae
Description: Nocardia sp. CFHS0054 tRNA-Arg
Rfam family: tRNA
About the family: Transfer RNA (tRNA) molecules are approximately 80 nucleotides in length. Their secondary structure includes four short double-helical elements and three loops (D, anti-codon, and T loops).
Source: RNAcentral